RNAcentral lists this ribosomal RNA (509 nucleotides) under uncultured bacterium. Its description in RNAcentral is "partial 16S ribosomal RNA". It matches the Rfam family "Bacterial small subunit ribosomal RNA", at positions 28 to 506 of the family's 1533-position model. The record is from RNAcentral.
GACGAACGCUGGCGGCGUGCUUAACACAUGCGAGUCGAACGAAGAGCGAUGGAAGCUUGCUUCUAUCAAUCUUAGUGGCGAACGGGUGAGUAACGCGUAAUCAACCUGCCCUUCAGAGGGGGACAACAGUUGGAAACGACUGCUAAUACCGCAUACGAUCUAAUCUCGGCAUCGAGGAUAGAUGAAAGGUGGCCUCUACAUGUAAGCUAUCACUGAAGGAGGGGAUUGCGUCUGAUUAGCUAGUUGGAGGGGUAACGGCCCACCAAGGCGAUGAUCAGUAGCCGGUCUGAGAGGAUGAACGGCCACAUUGGGACUGAGACACGGCCCAGACUCCUACGGGAGGCAGCAGUGGGGAAUCUUCCGCAAUGGACGAAAGUCUGACGGAGCAACGCCGCGUGAGUGAUGACGGCCUUCGGGUUGUAAAGCUCUGUUAAUCGGGACGAAAGGCCUUCUUGCGAAUAGUGAGAAGGAUUGACGGUACCGGAAUAGAAAGCCACGGCUAACUACGU